Sander lucioperca (pikeperch) is the source of this 529-nucleotide long non-coding RNA. The record is from Ensembl. Lineage: Eukaryota; Metazoa; Chordata; Actinopteri; Perciformes; Percidae.
GGGGGGGUGGAGCAAAGUGUGCAUGCUCUGCGCUGUGACAGGAGCAGGGGCACAGACACCGGUGCAUACUGGAGAGAAACUAAAGUAUUGAUCUCAUUACACUGGUAUUGAUCUAUAUCAGUAGGCUACUAUCGAUAUUUGGAUUGAUCCGCCCACCACUACAGCAGAUCACCUCUCUGUCAGAUCUCAUGGCUCCAUUUCUGCUCCUGUUGAUCCUUCUGACUGAAGCAGCUUCUGGCCACAGUGCAAGCGUUGGCUAAGGUGAGGAGGAUGACAUUGGCAGAAGCAGUAAGAGAGGUUGAACAGGGCCAGAUGGAGGAAAGUGAGAAGGAAGACAUGCUGAUGGAUAUAAGAAAUGACAUGGAGAGACGUGGACUUCUACGUUGAAUGUCAAUUAGCAAAGGCCAUGCUGUGGCAAUAAAAUAAAGGCAUUACUAAUCUGAAAACUGUUUUUAAGACUCUUUAGCCUCUCUGGGUUAAUUCUUGUCCAGUUUUGACAAGUUUAGGUAUUGUGGUUUUGGAUCUGGAC